Molecule: long non-coding RNA, 1886 nt
Filed under: Arabidopsis lyrata
Lineage: Eukaryota; Viridiplantae; Streptophyta; Magnoliopsida; Brassicales; Brassicaceae
Description: long non-coding RNA (ALYR_LNC002826)
Source: RNAcentral
GAUUGUUCCAUAGGUGUGGCCCCAAAGUAGCUAACACACCAUAGCUUUGCCUAUUAACAAAGACUCCUGCUGCUUUCAAUACCUUCACAUGAUUCUUUUUUUAAAAGAACAAAUUUCAAUCAUUCAAGAUAUGUCAUUAUCAACUCUCACAAAACUUUCAUAAAUUACUAUUUCACAACAGGAAUAGAGUUAGAGAGAAUCUUAACCUGUUUGUAAUAUUCUUCUCCACCUUUCAACACAGUAAGAACCAUGUAGCUUCUGCCUGUUCACAACAGUAAAUAGAAAUGUAUCUAUCAAAGAAAACUCUACACACAAACGAAGGGUUUUGGAAAGUCAAAGCCGGUAAUUUGUAUCAAUAAUACGGUUGUGUUCGAAAAUGACUGAAAAGUUUUAGCUUAUUGACUGAACAGAAAACAACAAAUAGUUUUAGCUGGCAGCUUGCUAGGAGAGGACCGCACUCACGUAGAUGUGAUUCUCAAGUCACUUUCCACAUUGUAAUAUCAAAUCCACCAUGCACGUGCAGAAGCAAUAAACAGGUAGAUGAUAAUGAAAUAAGGGUCGUCCAAUCUAAUUCUAUGACCCACAAAAUGUGAGAGAAUGUGACUCAGUAAAUGCACAACACAUUGGACCUGGUCUACCAAUUUCAAAUUCCAGGAAGACCAAAGAAACAAACGAGUAAAGGCGUAGAAACAAACGAGUAAAGGCAAAGAACCAAGCAGUUCUGUCAAACUAUUAGCUUGCACAUGUUCAAUUGAUAACCGAAAGUGAUAUCUAAGGGAAAGAUUAACAAGCAACACGAACCUUAAACUUUUUAUCAAAAAUUUUGUGACUUCGAGAAACUUUGUACAAUCAAUCAACGAAACUAGAAUUCCAUAAUCAUAAGAGAAGAGUUAUGAAGCCCAAUCAGUAUAUUAAAGUAAGACUGACAUAAUUACAUUAGAUUCAGGUACAAGGUUCAAGACAGAGAACUCUAAAUUCCGCUUCCUAAAACUAAAUGAAGAACCUAGAGCUAAAAUCCUAAAAACUGCAAAAAAAUUCACGAGUCUUUCGAAUCACCAAACCAUCCUGAAAAUGGCAGAGAUUAACCCCUUGUGUUUCUCCUCAUUAUUCUGGGCACUAGAAGACCAAUGGAGUUGUUCAAACUCUGGAGUUGAAGCUCUUGUUCAAGUUUGAAAUCCAGAGCUCAAGCUAGCUGAACCUGAAACCGCAAAAACAGAUUGAUAACAACACAGUAUGCCAAACUAACAAUAUCCUUAAUCAACACACCCUAACUUCCAAAACAAAUUCUCAUUCCAUAGCAUUAUACCAUAUUGAACACCGAAAACAAUACGAAAGAACUCAAAUUGAUAUACAUUUCCUCCUCACUAACACUUUUACUAAGCUUAGCAGUUGGAGGAGCCCUUAAGUUCAAGAACGUGAAGGUAGCUGCAAUGGCACCACAAUCUAACUAGCUAAAACAAGCUUAUUGUAGAAAAAGCACUAAACUAGUAGUAGUAAUAUAUGCUUGUUCAACAGCAGCAACUGUAGUCGAAAUAAUAAACAAGAGAAAGCUCUAGUGUCUGUCUACCAAUGCGCAAACUCCAGAAAAUGUCGUUGUACAACCACCGCAAGCGGGGGAAGUGCAAUGACUUACUCGAUCAACGACUCGCAACCGAUGGACCGCAGAGAGAGAGGCUGAAUCUGAAUUUGGGUAUUCAUCUCCGUCGGGUUCCCGCCGCGGGACACGGCGAAGAUCGAUGUAGGGAUUGAUCCCGGGAAAUCGGUGACUGGCCCAAGUAGUGUUAUGGGCUUAAUGUGGGCUUUCAUAAAUGAUGGGUUAUGUCUAGUAAUAGGCCCUUCUUUCAGGUAUCCACGGGUUUUCGGGUUUUACCGACCCGGAUGGGAUU